UAUUUUUUGCUGCAACUUCUGAAGAAGAGACACGUUUGCAAAUGGAAGAGCCUAGAGAGUUUAAAGCUUGUGGGUUGGCUCCGGAAAAGCUAGAUGCUGGUGAAACUGAAGAAGAAAUCAAAGAAACUUUGGAAACGAUCUCUAAAUCUGAUUCUCAAAGCAUUGAUACAGUUUCCAAAGAUAAUAUUGUUGCUGAUCAAACUCUUGUUGAGGCAUCUUACACUUCACUUCCCGAGGAAAAGGAGUACAAGGCAGGUGAAAGUGAAGUGCCAGCUGCUGAAAAUGGGGGAGAUUUAAUUUCUGCAAGGUCAGUCGAAGAGACAAUCUUGAAAAAGGAAGAGCCCGGGGAGCUCAAAGUGUCUGAAUUGGCUCCGGAAGAGCUGAAUGCUGGCGAAACUGAAGAAGAAAUCAAGAAAACUCCUGAAACAGUAUCUGAACCUGAUUCUCCAAGCACUGACGUGGUUUCGAGAGAUGAGGCCAUUUCUGAUCAGACACUCCAUGAAGGAAUAUCAACAGAGAAAC
Molecule: long non-coding RNA, 522 nt
Filed under: Malus domestica (apple)
Lineage: Eukaryota; Viridiplantae; Streptophyta; Magnoliopsida; Rosales; Rosaceae
Description: long non-coding RNA (MDOM_LNC007851)
Source: RNAcentral